RNAcentral lists this long non-coding RNA (294 nucleotides) under Elaeis guineensis (African oil palm). Its description in RNAcentral is "long non-coding RNA (EGUI_LNC037040)". The record is from RNAcentral. Lineage: Eukaryota; Viridiplantae; Streptophyta; Magnoliopsida; Arecales; Arecaceae.
UGUGGUACUCUAUCGAAUCUUCUUAAUAGUGCCUCUACUGGCUUCGAAUUCGAUUCACCAACCUAAUCCAAUUCUGUAUGUGUCGGUCCUUCCACCUCAUGAACUUCAUCAAGUUCAAUUUUACAGGCAUUAGCUCCUUCACCAAGGAACUCCUUUUUAAAAAAGAUUGUCCGGCUGCUGAUAAAUACCUUUUGUUCUGCAGCGAGGUAGAAGUAGUACCCUUUAGUUUUUUUUGGAUACCCUAUGAACAAGCAUCUAUCGGACUUUGAUCCAAGCUUAUCUAUCUUUAAAUGC